CAGGACGUAGCUCAGCUUGGUAGAGCGCUUGGUUCGGGACCAAGAGACCGUGGGUUCGAAUCCCAUCGUCCUGACCA
Molecule: transfer RNA, 77 nt
Filed under: Firmicutes bacterium M10-2
Lineage: Bacteria; Bacillati; Bacillota
Description: tRNA-Pro
Rfam family: tRNA
About the family: Transfer RNA (tRNA) molecules are approximately 80 nucleotides in length.
Source: RNAcentral